GGAUGUGAGGGCGAUCUGGCUGCGACAUCUGUCACCCCAUUGAUCGCCAGGGUUGAUUCGGCUGAUCUGGCUGGCUAGGCGGGUGUCCCCUUCCUCCCUCACCACUCCAUGUGCGUCCCUCCCGAAGCUGCACGCUCGGUCGAAGAGGAUGACCUUCCCCGAUAGAGGAGGACUGUUCUUCGGUCAAGGGUAUACGAGUAGCUGCGCUCCCCUGCUAGAACCUCCAAACAAGCUCUCAAGGUCCAUUUGUAGGAGAACGUAGGGUAGUCAAGCUUCCAAGACUCCAGACACAUCCAAAUGAGGCUCUGCACGUGGCAGUCUGCCUUUCUUU
RNAcentral lists this small nuclear RNA (331 nucleotides) under Panthera pardus (leopard). RNAcentral's name for it is "7SK RNA (ENSPPRG00000014941.1)". It matches the Rfam family "7SK RNA". From Rfam's summary of the family: 7SK was discovered as an abundant small nuclear RNA in the mid-70s but a possible function has only recently been suggested. Two independent studies have found that 7SK RNA binds the CDK9/cyclin T complex (known as elongation factor P-TEFb). P-TEFb activates transcription by phosphorylating the C-terminal domain of RNA polymerase II. The record is from RNAcentral. Lineage: Eukaryota; Metazoa; Chordata; Mammalia; Carnivora; Felidae.